RNAcentral lists this ribosomal RNA (466 nucleotides) under uncultured bacterium. RNAcentral describes it as "partial 16S ribosomal RNA". It matches the Rfam family "Bacterial small subunit ribosomal RNA", at positions 30 to 507 of the family's 1533-position model. The record is from RNAcentral.
CGACCGCUGGCGGCGUGCUUACCACAUGCAAGUCGACCGGCAAGGCCCUGCUUUUGUGGGGUGCUCGAGUGGCGAACGGGUGAGUAACACGUGAGUAACCUGCCCUUUACUUUGGGAUAACUUCAGGAAACUGGGGCUAAUACCGGAUAGGAGCUCCUGCUGCAUGGUGGGGGUUGGAAAGUUUCGGCGGUUGGGGAUGGACUCGCGGCUUAUCAGCUUGUUGGUGGGGUAGUGGCUUACCAAGGCUUUGACGGGUAGCCGGCCUGAGAGGGUGACCGGCCACAUUGGGACUGAGAUACGGCCCAGACUCCUACGGGAGGCAGCAGUGGGGAAUAUUGCACAAUGGGCGGAAGCCUGAUGCAGCAACGCCGCGUGCGGGAUGACGGCCUUCGGGUUGUAAACCGCUUUCGCCUGUGACGAAGCGUGAGUGACGGUAAUGGGUAAAGAAGCACCGGCUAACUACGUG